RNAcentral lists this ribosomal RNA (700 nucleotides) under Psychrobacillus psychrodurans. RNAcentral's name for it is "bacterial SSU rRNA". It matches the Rfam family "Bacterial small subunit ribosomal RNA", at positions 813 to 1509 of the family's 1533-position model. Lineage: Bacteria; Bacillati; Bacillota; Bacilli; Caryophanales; Bacillaceae. The record is from RNAcentral.
GUGCUAAGUGUUAGGGGGUUUCCGCCCCUUAGUGCUGCAGCUAACGCAUUAAGCACUCCGCCUGGGGAGUACGGUCGCAAGACUGAAACUCAAAGGAAUUGACGGGGGCCCGCACAAGCGGUGGAGCAUGUGGUUUAAUUCGAAGCAACGCGAAGAACCUUACCAGGUCUUGACAUCCCGCUGACCGGCCUAGAGAUAGGCUUUUCCCUUCGGGGACAGCGGUGACAGGUGGUGCAUGGUUGUCGUCAGCUCGUGUCGUGAGAUGUUGGGUUAAGUCCCGCAACGAGCGCAACCCUUGAUCUUAGUUGCCAGCAUUCAGUUGGGCACUCUAAGGUGACUGCCGGUGAUAAACCGGAGGAAGGUGGGGAUGACGUCAAAUCAUCAUGCCCCUUAUGACCUGGGCUACACACGUGCUACAAUGGACGGUACAGAGGGUCGCAACCCCGCGAGGGUGAGCAAAUCCCAUAAAACCGUUCUCAGUUCGGAUUGUAGGCUGCAACUCGCCUACAUGAAGCCGGAAUCGCUAGUAAUCGUGGAUCAGCAUGCCACGGUGAAUACGUUCCCGGGCCUUGUACACACCGCCCGUCACACCACGAGAGUUUGUAACACCCGAAGUCGGUGGGGUAACCCUUACGGGAGCCAGCCGCCGAAGGUGGGACAGAUGAUUGGGGUGAAGUCGUAACAAGGUAACCGUAUCGGA